Molecule: ribosomal RNA, 465 nt
Filed under: uncultured bacterium
Lineage: Bacteria
Description: partial 16S ribosomal RNA
Rfam family: Bacterial small subunit ribosomal RNA
Source: RNAcentral
GACGAACGCUGGCGGCGUGCUUAACACAUGCAAGUCGAACGGAAAGGCCCUGCUUGCAGGGUACUCGAGUGGCGAACGGGUGAGUAACACGUGGGUGAUCUGCCCUGCACUUCGGGAUAAGCCUGGGAAACUGGGUCUAAUACCGGAUAGGAGCCAUUUUUAGUGUGAUGGUUGGAAAGUUUUUUCGGUGUAGGAUGAGCUCGCGGCCUAUCAGCUUGUUGGUGGGGUAAUGGCCUACCAAGGCGGCGACGGGUAGCCGGCCUGAGAGGGUGGACGGCCACAUUGGGACUGAGAGACGGCACAGACGCCUACGGGAGGCAGCAGUGGGGAAUAUUGCACAAUGGGCGCAAGCCUGAUGCAGCGACGCCGCGUGGGGGAUGACGGCCUUCGGGUUGUAAACUCCGUUCGCUAGGGACGAAGCUUUUUGUGACGGUACCUAGAUAAGAAGCACCGGCUAACUACGUG